This 28-nucleotide small RNA is filed under the name Bombyx mori (domestic silkworm). RNAcentral describes it as "ovarian small RNA-8076". The record is from RNAcentral. Lineage: Eukaryota; Metazoa; Arthropoda; Insecta; Lepidoptera; Bombycidae.
UGACAUUCUAUGUGUUUACAUUCCUCCA